GUGCCAGCAGCCGCGGUAAUACGUAGGUGGCAAGCGUUGUCCGGAUUUAUUGGGCGUAAAGGGCGCGCAGGCGGUUCGUUAAGUCCGAGGUGAAAUCUCCCGGCUCAACUGGGAGAGGUCUUCGGAUACUGGCGGACUGGAGGUGAGCAGAGGUGAGUGGAAUUCUCGGUGUAGUGGUGAAAUGCGUAGAUAUCGAGAGGAACACCAGUGGCGAAGGCGGCUCACUGGGCUCUACCUGACGCUGAGGCGCGAAAGCGUGGGGAGCGAACCGGAUUAGAAACCCUCGUAGUCC
RNAcentral lists this ribosomal RNA (292 nucleotides) under uncultured bacterium. Its description in RNAcentral is "partial 16S ribosomal RNA". It matches the Rfam family "Bacterial small subunit ribosomal RNA", at positions 505 to 796 of the family's 1533-position model. The record is from RNAcentral.